GGUUUUCGAGACAUUGUCCUCACAUUCGCAGAUUUGGUUCGAGACAUUUGUUUUUUAGGGGUUCACAUGUUUCUGGGUGCUUUUGCAGCGAUGCGAUUCAUCUCACAGGGGAUGGGGAUUCCUACAUUACCGUGCCUUUUUUUGGGGAAAAAUGCCCACUUUUUGUGUAACAAAAACAUAAAAACGAGCCUUGCAGCUGCGAUGUCUGCUGCUCAGGUGGUUUCUCAAGAACAAAUUUUUUUAACAAAAAAAGCCUUUCUUUUUUCUUACUCUCUUGGAAAGAAGGUACAUGGAGCCAAUCCGUUAGGUCGCUAACUUCACCAAAGGAUUUCAUUUUCCGUACCUAAACCUUGUUUCAACAAAAUGCUGCCUUUGGCCGGGGGCAUCUGAUUGUCAUUUUAGUCUGUUGAUUCUUCAAGUCAAUAUUACGCUCAUUUUAUUCAAUGUUUCCCGACAGCCAACUACACUUGUAUUUCUUUGUUAGUAACGUCCCGCGCUUGAGUCCUUGUGAUCUGCACAGUAUGAUGCUGCCACCAAAUGCAUGCAGUUAGACAAGCUUAAUGUUGCAUCUGAUAAGACUGUACAACAGAUUCGUGUGCCAAAUGUGUCCUUGCUACUCAAGGAGGUCAUAUGGAACAAGUAAAACGAAAUUUCUGCAUCAGCAAUCAGGCACAAGACUGAAUGACGUGGUUAGUGCCAAUGAGGU
RNAcentral lists this unclassified non-coding RNA (706 nucleotides) under Zea mays. RNAcentral's name for it is "misc RNA Zm00001eb297780". The record is from RNAcentral. Lineage: Eukaryota; Viridiplantae; Streptophyta; Magnoliopsida; Poales; Poaceae.